Molecule: ribosomal RNA, 245 nt
Filed under: uncultured bacterium
Lineage: Bacteria
Description: partial small subunit ribosomal RNA
Rfam family: Bacterial small subunit ribosomal RNA
Source: RNAcentral
AGAAUCAACGCUGGCGGCGUGCCUAACACAUGCAAGUCGAACGAGAAAGUGGAGCAAUCCAUGAGUAAAGUGGCGCACGGGUGAGUAACACGUGACUAACCUACCCUCGAGUGGGGAAUAACCUCGGGAAACCGGGGCUAACACCGCAUAACAUCUACGGAUCAAAUGCGUAAGCAGCUUGAGGAGGGGGUCGCGGCUGAUUAGCUAGUUGGCGGGGUAAUGGCCCACCAAGGCAGUGAUCAGUA